GAGUUUGAUCCUGGCUCAGGAUGAACGCUGGCGGUAUGCCUAACACAUGCAGUCGAACGAAAUCUUCGGAUUUAGUGGCGGACGGGUGAGUAACGCGUGAGAAUCUGCCUCAGGACGGGGACAACAGUUGGAAACGACUGCUAAGACCCGAUGUGCCGAGAGGUGAAAUUUUAUAGCCUGAAGAGGAGCUCGCGUCUGAUUAGCUAGUUGGUAGUGUAAGGGACUACCAGGCAACGAUCAGUAGCUGGUCUGAGAGGAUGAGCAGCCACACUGGGACUGAGACACGGCCAGACUCCUACGGGAGGCAGCAGUGGGGAAUUUUCCGCAAUGGGCGAAAGCCUGACGGGCAAUACCGCGUGAGGGAUGACGGCCUAUGGGUUGUAAACCUCUUUUUUCAGGGAGGAAAAAAUGACGUUACCUGAAGAAUAAGCAUCGGCUAACUCCGUGCCAGCAGCCGCGGUAAU
RNAcentral lists this ribosomal RNA (464 nucleotides) under uncultured Chroococcales cyanobacterium. RNAcentral describes it as "bacterial SSU rRNA". It matches the Rfam family "Bacterial small subunit ribosomal RNA", at positions 9 to 524 of the family's 1533-position model. Lineage: Bacteria; Bacillati; Cyanobacteriota; Cyanophyceae; Chroococcales. The record is from RNAcentral.